Molecule: RNase P RNA, 411 nt
Filed under: Candidatus Altimarinota bacterium
Lineage: Bacteria; Candidatus Altimarinota
Description: RNase P RNA component class A
Rfam family: Bacterial RNase P class A
About the family: Ribonuclease P (RNase P) is a ubiquitous endoribonuclease, found in archaea, bacteria and eukarya as well as chloroplasts and mitochondria. Its best characterised activity is the generation of mature 5'-ends of tRNAs by cleaving the 5'-leader elements of precursor-tRNAs.
Source: RNAcentral
AGGAGGAGACAGGUAUACGCGUUCUGAGCAAUCAGGAUGAGGAAAGUCUGGACAUCACUCCAAGGUGAGAAGAGCUAACGGCUCUGGCUCGGCAAUAUAUAUAAAAUGUCGAGUACGGAUAGUGCCACAGAGACAAUACUAUCCCGAGCAAUCGGGAGAAAGGUGAAAAGUCAUCUGGUGUCAUCGCACUUGAUUACCUGGGCCCGCUCAGGUGUAAAGUGAAGUGGCUACAGAUGAAUCCUACGAAAGUGGGAGUGGUAAACCCUCUCUGAUGCAAGGAGAAUGGUACUCAAUAUGAUAAUGUCUUAGAGCAGUCAUAGAGAGUAUACUCCGCUGGAGGUCAUGGGCGACUGUGAUCCUAGAUAGAUGUAUACCGAUAUACAGAAUCCGGCUUAUUAUCUCCUCCUCCGG